GGCCACAACAAGCGGUGGAGCAUCUGGUUACAUUUGAGGCACCGCGAAGAUCAUGACAUGGUCUUAACAUGACAGUCAUCUCGUAGAGACAUGGGAUGUUCCGCAAGGUCGCUGCACACAGUUGCAACAUGGCAGUCAUCAGGUCGUGUCAUGAGAUCAUGGCUUAAGUGCAACAGGAAGCGCGACCCAUACGACUCGUUGAGAUCGACGUACAAGUCGGCUAACUCAAGGUCAGUACUGGCUGUGUGAUAAACUCGUGACGGACAGUACUGGAGGCAGAUCUGUCAAGUCAUCAUACCAUAUACGAGUCAGGGCUACACACCUGAUGCGAUGGGAUAUACAGAGGCAUCAGACCACAUUACCCAAACAGAAUGUCAGAAAGUAUGUAAUAGUCCGGAUUGAAGUCUUCAACUCGACUAUCAUGAAGUGUGGAAUAGGUAGUUAUCGCAAAUCAGAAUGUUGCGGUGAAUACGUUGCCGGGCCUCGUACACACCGCCCGUCACACCACGGGAGUGGAUUGCACCAGGAGUAGCCAGUUUGACGCAAGAGGGCGGUUAACACGGUGUGGUAUAUGACUGGGGUG
Molecule: ribosomal RNA, 583 nt
Filed under: uncultured rumen bacterium
Lineage: Bacteria
Description: bacterial SSU rRNA
Rfam family: Bacterial small subunit ribosomal RNA
Source: RNAcentral